GCUACACAGGGUCCAGGGCCAUGCCUAGACACUUUAUGAUAUCUCCAGGGAUGGAGACUCCACAGUCUCUCUGAUCAACCUCUGCCAGUGCUUGGUCACUUGUACAGUGGAAAGGGAUUCCCUGAUGUUCAGAUGGAGCUUCCUGUGCUCCAGUUUGUGCCAGUUGCCUGUCACUGGGUGUCAUUGUGAAGAGCCCAUGUCCAUCAUCUUUAUACCAUCCCUCUGGUUUUCACCUGCUAAGAUCCUCCCUCAGCUUUUGCUUAAUGGGGAUGAAGUACUAAAGGAAGGCUGAAAUAGGCCAAGAUACCUAGUGAAAGACAUAUUAAGUCAGCAAAAUUUUCUGGUGCUGUUCUUGCAUGAUUCAAACAAUUUUGAGGCUUGCUUUUUUUCAUACAAACCUGUAAAUAUAUCCUCUUAAUGACAGUGCAGGUCUUGAGUGUUGUUGGAGCCUGGGUGCUACUCUGGCAAAAAGUACAAAACAGUCUGCAAAAAAAAGUACCUGAAGAAGUCAAUGAGGGCUUUCUAAAUACAUCCUGGACUGUGCAGCAGCCUACUGUUACAGUAUGCCUUGGGGCUGGUUUGACAUCCAAAAUGGUCAAGUGUACACUAGGCUUGAGUGCAGCGGUGAGAAGCAGUCUAGCUCACAUAGGGCUUUCAAUCCCAAGGAAAGACCGGCUUAAUUACGUGUUGGCUGCUUUACCUCUCAGCAAGUAUUUGGAAGGUUGAGGAAAAGGAGGGACGGCAGAGAAAGUGAAGGGCUGCCACACUACCAAAAACCUGGGAGAGAAUCCAAUUUUUGUGGGUUCUUCUUUGCCCACUUACUUCCUGAUUAAAGAGACCUACAAACUUGAAUUUCAUGUAAGGUGAUUCCAGACUGUUGUUUUGCUUAGGAGAUUAAUUUUCCUUUAGUAUUUCCUGUGCCACUGUGAUUCUUUUCUCCAGUACAAAAUUCUCCUCUUUUUAUCUGUCUAGCAAAUUCCAGCUGUAUUGACUCAAGGAUGUCUCAUUAUGUAGCUGGUUAUAGUAAGGCUUUGUGUAAGACUGUUGUCUGUGGGUGGAUGCCCAAGAGGGCAAGACCCUUACAGCCUUUCUAAGAGGAUGUGACCAUUUGUAGGACCUGCAGAGUAGUCUUCUCUACUUUAUGCCAAACACUCUGCUACUCUUGGGGCAUCCAGGGGAAGUGCUUGGGAGAGCAGUCUGCUGCUGACUAACCUCUCAAAAUGCCCUGUGGCAGUGAUGUUCUCCGUAGUGUGUUGUACCUGUGCAUAUUACCUGCUUUUCCUCAUAUUCCUCCACCUCAGAAUGACUUGGUGAAUUUGGGAUUCUGGAGUUUAGGUGGAGGUUUGCAAGUUAGGGUCAACUUGUUUACAUCUUUGCUUGCAGCCAUGGCAGAGCACAGUAAGGUUUGGACAUGAUAAGACACAAGCUGUCAGCUCUGAGUGCUCCCUCACAUGCCUUAGAUGAAUCAAAAUUAGAUGUUUUUCUCUGAACAUGAAUUUAAUAAAUACAUGCAGAAAGUGCAUGUAAAUACACAGUAGUGACUCCUGCCUUAUUAAUAGAUCAUGAGGUGUGGAUCAUGAGGGUGAACAAUACAGGGACAUUUUUAACAGUGUUUCUGAAGUAAAAUAACAAAUAUAACAGAAGCAUUUGGGAAUGAAAAUCAACUGCCACUGCAGCUGGGAAUGUAGGCCUUGGGACUGGCACUAAUAGCCUGUGUAAGGAAUUUCAAUGCAAAAUUAUACAAGUCUAGGGCUGUGAGUUAAAUACUCCAAAGAGAGAGCAAAGUGGAAUAUAGUAUGGGCUGAAUCCCUCUUCUGCUAGGACUAAGACAUUUAAUAGAGCACGUGUACAUUAGUAGAAGAGUAGUCACACUCCACUAAGAUCUGAGUGACCAAGCCUUUAAAAAUCUAUUCAAAACAUACCCUGUUCUGUUGCAUAUCAGGAAAUCUCAGAUAAAUGUUUCUUCAUCCUUCUGAUCUGUGCUAUUUUAAUACCAAUUGGCAGUUCCAUUGAUGGCACAGUAUGAUUUAACAAACUGAAAGGAUAUAGCAGAAUGAGAAGGAAACUUCCAGACACUAAUCUCACAUAACAAGGAGUAAUAGAUAUUUUGUGUAAAACCAGUUUGGGGAAAAUGCCCUUGUGUAAUAAUAAUUAUUGACCAGUUUCACCAUCUUCGGAAAAUUACUUUUUUCACAACUGUUCUGUAUGUGAGGCUUUUAAACCUGUCUGUCAUUAUUCAUUCAGAUUAGCUGAAAUGUAAAGUAACAUAUAGAUAAAACACAAUUUGAGGCUCUACCCGUUCUGUCUCUCAUUGUCCAAAUCUUGCCUGUUUGACAGAGAGGUCACAUGUCAUCACAGGCACGUUGAUUCGGACUAGUACUGUUCUUCUUCCAACAAGAAACUUUUAAUUGUUUUUGUUGCCAGCAGUUGUAUUCAUAAGGACAUGAUGACUAAGCUUCACAUGUUUCUAUUAAUAUAAAGUUGGCUAUCAUUGGUAUCAAUAUUUGCUGUUGCAUAAUGAGAAACAUUUUUGAUAACCACUUAAAAAUUUCGAGAAACAUCUCAAAUGUAUAUUUCUGUAUAGAUUUGGGUUUAAAGGUUCUCAGUUACACAGGACAAAGGAAAACUUAUUUCUGUCAGGACAUGAACAGCUUGCUUGGGGUUUUUUGUUAUUUGCCAAUUGCAGUGGAAAUGAUGCAGCAGAAAAAAAACUGCUGAGGAGUCAGUUGUAUUUUCUAGGUACUUUCUGGUUUUGAAAUAACACUAUUGAUUAUCACAAGUGGUGCAGUUGUUUGAAUUCAACUGCUGCCAAGUUUUUACACUGCUGAUUGUGGUGAGAGUAGAGAAAUCAACAUUAGAAGCAACUUCUUAACUCAGAUAGUGUUAUUUUAAAUAUUAAAUAUAAAAGUAUAUUUAGAUUAAGUAUUUAUUUUGUGUUAUUUUCAUGGCAUUUCUUAAAUUACAGUAUAUCUUAAGAGUGGUGAAAAAAAUAACGUGUACUGGGGAGCAGUCUGCUGCUGCUGCUGCUGCUGCUGGAGAAAGCUGUGAUUUACCAGAACAGGUGGACAACCAGAAGGUUGUGAAUUAAUGUGCAAGAUGACACAAAGCCACUGGUACUAUAAAUCCCCUGAUGAAUGAUGAUAAAUAAUGUAUUUCUCUCGAUCAGGAAAGACAGCAUUUUCACCAGAUAAAGCCUGUGAUAGAGGUCUCUGACAAAGAAAAGCAUGAUCAUAGAAUCAUAGAAUCACAGAAUAUCCUUUGUUGGAAGGGUCCCAAAAGGAUUUUCGAAGUCCAGCUCCUUACUCUGCACAGGGCAGCCCCAAGAAUCCCAUCCUGUGCCUGAGAGCAUUGUCCAAAUGCUCCUUGAGCACUGGCAGGCUUGCUCAGAUAUGACCUCUGCCCUGGGGAGCCUGUUCUUCAAGGCUCUUGGUCUUAGUUUGAAAGCAAGUGCCCCCUGGGAAAGCAGAGCACACCCACACCCCAGGAACUUUUCAGGGGUUUGCAUAGCUCAGACUUGGAGGGGUCUGCUGCUCUCAGUGUCUUUCCUUGCAAGGGUUACUGUAUUAGCUGGGGUCUGUGGACCCACCUUCACUUCUACCCUAAGCUUAGGCAGGGCCUCUACCUAAAUAAAUAGCAAAGACAUUAGCAAAAACUUGUGUUCCAAAAUGAAAGACCAUAUGUUUUAUUUUGCAAGUAUUGCUCUUAGUGAUUCUUCUGGGGAGCUAGAAGAAGUAAAAUAUUAACUGUUCUGAAAGGGGAGGGAGGCAACUUCAUAAUAGCUGGUGUGUUUGAAGCACUGCAUUUGAUAAAGCAGUUCAAACAGCAGCCCUGAGCUGGUGACAGAGUAGCACAACUGCAAAUACUGCUCUGUGGGAGGAGUUUGGAACUAUGCCUGGGUAUAUCUAGGCAUACAAAUACACCUGGUUUUCUAAAACUUACCUCCACUUACAUCCAAAAUGCAAAACUAAGCAGCAUGUUCCUUGUUUGUCCUGCUGCACACAGCUCGAUUCACUCCAUCCUUCCCUGUCUGACCUGAGCAUCUUCUCAGCGCCCCCAGCUGUGUAUGCACAGACCAGUCACAGCCCAGGAAAGCUGUUGCCUUGUCCCUGAUUAGGUGCAGUGCUUGAGUUUUGAGGUGCAGGAGUGGCAUUUCCAAUGUCCUCAGUCUGUGAGCACAGGCGAAUCCGGCCUCUGACAAAAUGCAGCCCUUUGCCUUCCGACUGGGGUGCCUUGCUGGAAACAGAGAGGACUUGACCCCUCACCUCAGAGUUGUGAAUUAUAUUUCAAAAACAGAAGCAUGAAAUUAGGUGGAGAGCUCUGGUACCCAAACACUAGGGUUCUGUUUCUUGUUUUCCCUCCCUUCUCACAAAAUAUUACAAAAGUUGCAGGUAAAGGACCCAUUUGCAACAUGACAGGAUCAGGGUUCAUCCUCUGCCUGUGUGCUCCGACUUCCUCAGCCUGUUUUCUGGUGGUGGGGGACACUGUCUUUGAAGCUGACAAGACUUUCCAUUACAUUCCUCUGAGUAUUCUUUGAAUUACUUUGGUAGAAAUUUCUAAAAAGCCACAAAACCCCAAACUGCUAUCACCAGUUUUCCUUAGUUCUUCUCAUCCCCUUCUGAUCAUUAGUUCUCCAGACAUUAACCUGUUUAUGUUGAUCAAACACUGCUCUUCUGAAGAUACCACCUGGAUUUUAUUUUAAUCCAUCUGCAUUAUUUUAAGCUUGGAAUACAAGAGUUAUAAAAAAGAGGGACCAGGCCAUAAAAACUGUGAUAGUUAGCUUGGAUUAAACUGAGCUUUUUCAGAUGCUGUCAGAGUUUCAAAGAGCAAAAUACAAUAUUGUCAACUGCUAGCUAACUUCCAGAUCCAAGAUAUUCUUGAUUCAUUGGCUACACAGCCAUUAUAGUUGAGCAAGUAUUACUGUGUAUAUAUAUAUAUUUAUAAUAUAUAAAAUAUUAAAAUGAAGCUUCAUCUGAAGGAAAAAAAUGGCAUUUAGGUAGAUAAAGCCCUGGAAUAUCCUUACAGUGAAAACAUCAAGUUUAACUAUUGAUGGAAUGAAUUAGAAUUAGUUAACCAAAAAUUUCUCUGGAAAACAAAUGAGAGGUGGUGAGAAAAAUUGUGUUGCUGUGAGUUGAAUUUAAAGUCAGCAUGCUUAUAGAAGCUGUUGAAGUACAAAAUACGUUUCCAUUAUCAGUUAAAAGCAGAAAACAAACUUCUAUGAAAAUGAGUUCCAGAAAGGAAAGGUGCCUCCAUAUCAAUGUCAGAGCAGACAUACCAGAGAUAGUCUUCUCCCUACCCUACAAGCUGUGACAGAGAAAUAAGCUUAUACUAGGGAGAAAACCUGUUGCUGUUAGUUAAAAAAAAUUAAAAAGGAAAGGAGUUCAAAAGAGCAUUUAGGAAAAAUAAAUCAACAAAUCUGUAAGAGAUUGGAAAGCAGAGUAAUUAUAAAACAAGUAGUUAAUUGCAACAGACUCUUACAAUCAGGGAAAAACUUCCCAUUAAGAAAAUUAAUUGGCUUUUAAUAAAUUAAGACAGUUGUGUUGCUACAAAUAAAUCCUUCUUUUCUUUUAAUAAAACAUUGGUGUGGGUAUUAAGUUAACUUUUCUAUAGAGAGCCAUCUGACAGAAGGUUAGAGCAAUUCUAACACAAAACACAAUGAAAUUAUUGAAUUCAAAAAAGGAAAUGAUAAACAAAAAUUCUAGCAGAGAACAGGUAACAGAAAAGUUCAGCCCUGGGACUUAAACAGCAUUAAGAUUAAACCUUUCUGCUUUAUCAAAAAGUACUGUUGUCUCAAACUAAUGAUGGAUGGUUAAACUGUGAACAGGGUUUCAGAAAUAAUUAGGCAAAAGGCAGGAUGAAACAGGAGUUGACUUCAUAGCCCAGCUUUAAAGAAAAUUAGUAACAAGAAGAAAGAAAGAAUUACCUGGAGUAGCAACGGAAAAAAAUAACAUUCCAGAUCUGCUGUCCAGAGUGAGGGCAAAGUGUGAUAAGUGGGCACAGCAAAGGAUGCCAAGCAGCCCAGGCACUAUGCCUGGCUGCCUCUCUCUUUCCCUUGCUUCCUCCCUCCCUUCCUUGGGGAUCUGGUCCUGCUUGGAGUUUCCAGGAGUUCCUGCAGCACCAGAGAUGAAUCAGCAGAUGUGUCCUGGAGUUUUUGGUCCUACAGACUGGCUCUGGAGAAGAGGAUUGGAAAGUGCUUCAUCAGACAAAAACCUACAAAUGCUAAAACAGUGUCUUGGGCUGCAAUGCAAGAUGUAACCAAAGAUAUGUGUUCUAUUACCAUUUGUUAAAACCAAGUGGGGCAGUGUUCUUUAUCUUUUCCACAACCCAUCCUCCCUCCAGUGGGAUCUCUUCUGAUAAUGGGCCAUUGAGUCUCAUUACAUGACUGAUAAAAUUACAU
Molecule: long non-coding RNA, 6394 nt
Organism: Parus major (Great Tit)
Lineage: Eukaryota; Metazoa; Chordata; Aves; Passeriformes; Paridae
Exons: 3
Source: RefSeq, a predicted model, not a curated record